AUCGUGAGUGGUGCUCUUGAGUCCCUUCAAGUGAUUACUACUUAGAUCUUCCCGGGGACACCUUCUUGAAAGGACCAGCGUGCAUCCACUUUGCUUAGAUAUAAUCCCAGAUCAGUGGAGGUGUUGCAAAGCAGACUUCACUUGUCUCACUAACACUGGAGCAGUUGAACAUCAGAUACCCAGAGUGACAUCAGGUUAAAAAAAAGCCUGCAAUUUGGAUCUUUUCCUGACUCGGAAGCAAGGAAAAUGGACAAUUGAUAAUCAAAGGUA
Molecule: long non-coding RNA, 270 nt
Filed under: Pan troglodytes (chimpanzee)
Lineage: Eukaryota; Metazoa; Chordata; Mammalia; Primates; Hominidae
Description: long non-coding RNA NONPTRT007466
Source: RNAcentral